Rhinolophus ferrumequinum (greater horseshoe bat) is the source of this 106-nucleotide small nuclear RNA. NCBI's taxonomy places the organism in Eukaryota, Metazoa, Chordata, Mammalia, Chiroptera, Rhinolophidae. The record is from Ensembl.
UUAUUUAGACAUAAUAUAUAUGCUGAAAUUGGAAUGAUAAAGUAAAUAAUUAGCAUAGCACAUGUGAAAGGAUGACAUGUAAAUUUAUGAAAGCUUUCAUACUUUA